This 1688-nucleotide ribosomal RNA is filed under the name Salmonella enterica subsp. enterica serovar Infantis. Its description in RNAcentral is "partial 23S ribosomal RNA". Lineage: Bacteria; Pseudomonadati; Pseudomonadota; Gammaproteobacteria; Enterobacterales; Enterobacteriaceae. The record is from RNAcentral.
UGCUGGAGGUAUCAGAAGUGCGAAUGCUGACAUAAGUAACGAUAAAGCGGGUGAAAAGCCCGCUCGCCGGAAGACCAAGGGUUCCUGUCCAACGUUAAUCGGGGCAGGGUGAGUCGACCCCUAAGGCGAGGCCGAAAGGCGUAGUCGAUGGGAAACGGGUUAAUAUUCCCGUACUUGGUGUUACUGCGAAGGGGGGACGGAGAAGGCUAUGUUGGCCGGGCGACGGUUGUCCCGGUUUAAGCGUGUAGGUGUGUGUUCCAGGUAAAUCCGGUUCACUUUAACACUGAGGCGUGAYGACGAGGCACUACGGUGCUGAAGCAACAAAUGCCCUGCUUCCAGGAAAAGCCUCUAAGCAUCAGGUAACAUCAAAUCGUACCCCAAACCGACACAGGUGGUCAGGUAGAGAAUACCAAGGCGCUUGAGAGAACUCGGGUGAAGGAACUAGGCAAAAUGGUGCCGUAACUUCGGGAGAAGGCACGCUGACAUGUAGGUGAAGUGAUUUACUCAUGGAGCUGAAGUCAGUCGAAGAUACCAGCUGGCUGCAACUGUUUAUUAAAAACACAGCACUGUGCAAACACGAAAGUGGACGUAUACGGUGUGACGCCUGCCCGGUGCCGGAAGGUUAAUUGAUGGGGUCAGCGCAAGCGAAGCUCCUGAUCGAAGCCCCGGUAAACGGCGGCCGUAACUAUAACGGUCCUAAGGUAGCGAAAUUCCUUGUCGGGUAAGUUCCGACCUGCACGAAUGGCGUAAUGAUGGCCAGGCUGUCUCCACCCGAGACUCAGUGAAAUUGAACUCGCUGUGAAGAUGCAGUGUACCCGCGGCAAGACGGAAAGACCCCGUGAACCUUUACUAUAGCUUGACACUGAACAUUGAGCCUUGAUGUGUAGGAUAGGUGGGAGGCUUUGAAGYGUGGACGCCAGUCUGCRUGGAGCCGACCUUGAAAUACCACCCUUUAAUGUUUGAUGUUCUAACGUGGAYCCGURAUCCGGGUUGCGGACAGUGUCUGGUGGGUAGUUUGACUGGGGCGGUCUCCUCCUAAAGAGUAACGGAGGAGCACGAAGGUUGGCUAAUCCUGGUCGGACAUCAGGAGGUUAGUGCAAUGGCAUAAGCCAGCUUGACUGCGAGCGUGACGGCGCGAGCAGGUGCGAAAGCAGGUCAUAGUGAUCCGGUGGUUCUGAAUGGAAGGGCCAUCGCUCAACGGAUAAAAGGUACUCCGGGGAUAACAGGCUGAUACCGCCCAAGAGUUCAUAUCGACGGCGGUGUUUGGCACCUCGAUGUCGGCUCAUCACAUCCUGGGGCUGAAGUAGGUCCCAAGGGUAUGGCUGUUCGCCAUUUAAAGUGGUACGCGAGCUGGGUUUAGAACGUCGUGAGACAGUUCGGUCCCUAUCUGCCGUGGGCGCUGGAGAACUGAGGGGGGCUGCUCCUAGUACGAGAGGACCGGAGUGGACGCAUCACUGGUGUUCGGGUUGUCAUGCCAAUGGCACUGCCCGGUAGCUAAAUGCGGAAGAGAUAAGUGCUGAAAGCAUCUAAGCACGAAACUUGCCCCGAGAUGAGUUCUCCCUGAGACUUAGAGUCUCCUGAAGGAACGUUGAAGACGACGACGUUGAUAGGCCGGGUGUGUAAGCGCAGCGAUGCGUUGAGCUAACCGGUACUAAUGAACCGUGAGGCUUAACCUUACAACGCCGAAG